UUAGAGGAAGGAGAAGUCGUAACAAGGUUUCCGUAGGUGAACCUGCGGAAGGAUCAUUAGAGGUUUUUAUACAAAUCUAUAUAACACUUUAUAAACUACUCUUUGGACUAGGUCUUUCUAGGCUUUCCUACCCUUAGAGUGUCCUAAAGAAGCCUUUCCCUUUCCUAUUUCAGUUUCCGAUUUUAUUUUUUUUACCUCGUACAACUCUUAACGGUGGAUGACUCGGCUUCC
RNAcentral lists this unclassified non-coding RNA (231 nucleotides) under fungal sp. Its description in RNAcentral is "partial internal transcribed spacer region". The stretch from base 1 to 59 matches the Rfam family "Eukaryotic small subunit ribosomal RNA", at positions 1773 to 1831 of the family's 1831-position model. The record is from RNAcentral. Lineage: Eukaryota; Fungi.